AUCCAGCUGACGAGUUCCAAAUAGAACGAAACACGCGUCCUGGGU
Molecule: non-coding RNA, 45 nt
Organism: Schistosoma mansoni
Lineage: Eukaryota; Metazoa; Platyhelminthes; Trematoda; Strigeidida; Schistosomatidae
Source: Rfam